Molecule: ribosomal RNA, 250 nt
Filed under: uncultured soil bacterium
Lineage: Bacteria
Description: partial 16S ribosomal RNA
Rfam family: Bacterial small subunit ribosomal RNA
Source: RNAcentral
GAUGGCACAAUGAGUCGCAAACUCGCGAGAGGGAGCCAAUCUCAAGAAACCAUUCUCAGUUCGGAUUGCAGUCUGCAACUCGACUGCAUGAAGCUGGAAUCGCUAGUAAUCGCUGAUCAGCAAGCAGCGGUGAAUACGUUCCCGGGCCUUGUACACACCGCCCGUCACAUCACGAAAGCCCGUUGUACUAGAAGCCGGCAAUUCAACCGCAAGGAGAUAGCCGUCCAAGGUAUGACUGGUGAUUGGGGUG